RNAcentral lists this ribosomal RNA (525 nucleotides) under uncultured bacterium. RNAcentral's name for it is "bacterial SSU rRNA". It matches the Rfam family "Bacterial small subunit ribosomal RNA", at positions 9 to 525 of the family's 1533-position model. The record is from RNAcentral.
GAGUUUGAUCCUGGCUCAGGAUGAACGCUAGCGGCAGGCCUAACACAUGCAAGUCGGACGGUAACAUAAGGUGCUUGCACUUUGAUGACGAGUGGCGCACGGGUGCGCAACGCGUAUAGAACCUACCCUGUACAGGGGGAUAGCCCAGAGAAAUUUGGAUUAAUACCCCGUGGUAAAUAUAAAUGGCAUCAUUUAUAUUUUAAAGUUUUCGGAUGGUACAGGAUGGCUAUGCGUCCUAUUAGUUAGAUGGUGAGGUAACGGCUCACCAUGGCAGCGAUAGGUAGGGGCCCUGAGAGGGGGAUCCCCCACACUGGUACUGAGACACGGACCAGACUCCUACGGGAGGCAGCAGUGAGGAAUAUUGGACAAUGGGCGCAAGCCUGAUCCAGCCAUGCCGCGUGCAGGAAGACGGCCCUAUGGGUUGUAAACUGCUUUUAUACGGGAAGAAUAAGGGACACGUGUGUCCUGGUGACGGAACCGUAAGAAUAAGGACCGGCUAACUCCGUGCCAGCAGCCGCGGUAAUA